RNAcentral lists this ribosomal RNA (253 nucleotides) under uncultured bacterium. RNAcentral describes it as "partial 16S ribosomal RNA". It matches the Rfam family "Bacterial small subunit ribosomal RNA", at positions 524 to 776 of the family's 1533-position model. The record is from RNAcentral.
UACGGAGGGUGCAAGCGUUGUCCGGAUUUAUUGGGUUUAAAGGGUGCGUAGGCGGUUCUUUAAGUCCGGGGUGAAAGCCCACUGCUCAACAGUGGAACUGCCCUGGAAACUGGAGAACUUGAGUACAGACGAGGGCGGCGGAAUGGAUGGUGUAGCGAUGAAAUGCAUAGAUACCAUCCAGAACCCCGAUUGCGAAGGCAGCUGCCUAGACUGUAACUGACGCUGAGGCACGAAAGCGUGGGGAGCGAACAGG